Molecule: ribosomal RNA, 660 nt
Filed under: uncultured bacterium
Lineage: Bacteria
Description: bacterial SSU rRNA
Rfam family: Bacterial small subunit ribosomal RNA
Source: RNAcentral
AGUGGCGGACGGGUGAGUAACGCGUGAGAAUCUGCCUUGGGGUCGGGGACAACCACUGGAAACGGUGGCUAAUACCGGAUAAGCCGAUUGGUGAAAGAUUUAUUGCCCGAAGAGGAGCUCGCGUCUGAUUAGCUAGUUGGUGAGGUAAGAGCUCACCAAGGCAGCGAUCAGUAGCUGGUCUGAGAGGACGAUCAGCCACACUGGGACUGAGACACGGCCCAGACUCCUACGGGAGGCAGCAGUGGGGAAUUUUCCGCAAUGGGCGAAAGCCUGACGGAGCAAGACCGCGUGAGGGAGGAAGGCUCUUGGGUUGUAAACCUCUUUUCUCAGGGAAGAAGCUCUGACGGUACCUGAGGAAUCAGCCUCGGCUAACUCCGUGCCAGCAGCCGCGGUAAUACGGAGGAGGCAAGCGUUAUCCGGAAUUAUUGGGCGUAAAGCGUCCGCAGGUGGCAAUUCAAGUCUGCUGUCAAAGCACGGGGCUUAACUCCGUUAAGGCAGUGGAAACUGAAUAGCUAGAGUGCCGUAGGGGUAGAGGGAAUUCCCGGGGUAGCGGUGAAAUGCGUAGAGAUCGGGAAGAACAUCGGUGGCGAAAGCGCUCUACUGGACGGCAACUGACACUCAGGGACGAAAGCUAGGGGAGCGAAUGGGAUUAGAUACCCC